Molecule: ribosomal RNA, 468 nt
Filed under: uncultured bacterium
Lineage: Bacteria
Description: partial 16S ribosomal RNA
Rfam family: Bacterial small subunit ribosomal RNA
Source: RNAcentral
GACGAACGCUGGCGGCGUGCUUAACACAUGCAAGUCGAACGGAAAGGCCCUGCUUUUGUGGGGUGCUCGAGUGGCGAACGGGUGCGUAACACGUGAGUAACCUGCCCUUGACUUUGGGAUAACUUCAGGAAACUGGGGCUAAUCCCGGAUAGGAGCUCCUGCUGCAUGGUGGGGGUUGGAAAGUUUCGGCGGUUGGGGAUGGACUCGCGGCUUAUCAGCUUGUUGGUGGGGUAGUGGCUUACCAAGGCUUUGACGGGUAGCCGGCCUGAGAGGGUGACCGGCCACAUUGGGACUGAGAUACGGCCCAGACUCCUACGGGAGGCAGCAGUGGGGAAUAUUGCACAAUGGGCGGAAGCCUGAUGCAGCAACGCCGCGUGCGGGAUGACGGCCUUCGGGUUGUAAACCGCUUUCGCCUGUGACGAAGCGUGAGUGACGGUAAUGGGUAAAGAAGCACCGGCUAACUACGUG